This 385-nucleotide ribosomal RNA is filed under the name uncultured crenarchaeote. RNAcentral's name for it is "bacterial SSU rRNA". It matches the Rfam family "Archaeal small subunit ribosomal RNA", at positions 474 to 859 of the family's 1478-position model. The record is from RNAcentral. Lineage: Archaea; Thermoproteati; Thermoproteota.
UACCAGCUCUCCGAGUGGUGUGGAUGUUUAUUGGGCCUAAAGCAUCCGUAGCUGGCUAAGUMAGUCCCUUGUUAAAUCCACCGAAUUAAUCGUUGGAUUGCGGGGGAUACUGCUUGGCUAGGGGACGAGAGAGGCAGACGGUAUUUUCGGGGUAGGGGUGAAAUCCUAUAAUCCCGGGAAGACCACCAGUGGCGAAGGCUGUCUGCUAGAACGCGCCCGACGGUGAGGGAUGAAAGCUGGGGGAGCGAACCGGAUUAGAUACCCGGGUAGUCCCAGCUGUAAACGAUGCAGACUAGGUGUUUGGACGGCCACGUGCCGUUCUAGUGCCGCAGGGAAGCUGUUAAGUCUGCCGCCUGGGGAGUACGAUCGCAAGAUUGAAACUUAA